This 1579-nucleotide small RNA is filed under the name Pan troglodytes (chimpanzee). RNAcentral's name for it is "retained intron". Lineage: Eukaryota; Metazoa; Chordata; Mammalia; Primates; Hominidae. The record is from RNAcentral.
GUAUUUAGCAAAAUAGUCACUAUUUUCUGGUCCUGGUUCAGUCUUGUGUAGCAGUUAGGCCCUAGUAGGACAGUUAGAUGAAGAUUAAAUUUUUUAGUUACUGUAUUAGUUAGGGUUGCCAGAGAAACUGAAUCAAGAGGGUGUAUAUGUAGAGAUGAGAAAGAGGGAGAGAAAGAAAUUUAUAUUAUGGAAUUGGCUUAUGUGAUUAUGGGAGCUGGUAAGUCUGAAAUCCAUAGGGCAGGCCAGCAGCUGGAAACUCAGGUAAAAGUUGAUGAUGUGGUCUUGAGUUUGAAAUCUGUAGGGUGGGCUGCAACCUGGAAAUCCAGGCAGAAUUUCGAUGUCGCAGUCUUGAGGAGAAUUCCUCCUCUAGGAAACCUCUGUUUUUGCUUGUAAGGCUUUGAACAGAUUGGAUGGGGCCCAGCCACUCAUUAUUGAGGGUAACCUCCCUUAAAGUUAACGGAUUGUAGAUAUUAAUCACACCUACAAAAUACCUUCACCACACCAUCUGGGCUAGUGUUUGACCAAACAACUGGGCACCAUAGUCUAGCCAAGUUGUCAUAAAAUUAUCACAGUUACUUUAAAUGAUCAUAUUCACAUAUUUUCAGAAAAAUGGGACUAAUGAUGGAGACUAUGUUUUUCUAACUGGAGAAGACAGUUACCUUAACUUUACAAAAAUUGUGGAAUGGAAUGGGAAAACGUCACUUGACUGGUGGAUAACAGACAAGUGCAAUAUGAUUAAUGGAACAGAUGGAGAUUCUUUUCACCCACUAAUAACCAAAGAUGAGGUCCUUUAUGUCUUCCCAUCUGACUUUUGCAGGUCAGUGUAUAUUACUUUCAGUGACUAUGAGAGUGUACAGGGACUGCCUGCCUUUCGGUAUAAAGUUCCUGCAGAAAUAUUAGCCAAUACGUCAGACAAUGCCGGCUUUUGUAUACCUGAGGGAAACUGCCUGGGCUCAGGAGUUCUGAAUGUCAGCAUCUGCAAGAAUGGUAAGAACUCAGAGAGGGGACAUGAUAGGGGUGUCAAGAAUGCAGAAGGAUUGGAGUUCAACAAAGAAUAUGUAGCUGGGCAUAGUGGCGCACACCUACAGUCCCAGCUACUAAGGAUGCUGAGGUGGGAUGAUCACUUGAGCCCAGGAGUUCUCAAGUCCAUCCUGGGCAACAUGGCGAGACCACUGUCUCUAAAAAACAAAACAAACAAAAAAGAAUAUAUUGUCAGCCCAAUAGAAAGAUCAGUUUCUUUCAAGAACAAUGUUUCAUAACAUGGCUAUUGAAUGGUAAAAAAAAAUCAUGGCUUUUCUGUGAUGCUUUUUAUUUCUAGAAUGCCAUGUUGUGUUUUUUUUUCUGGACAGUGGUUUAGAAGUCUUAACAGUAAUAAUAGCUCAUGUUUACUAAGCACCUGAUGUAUGCCAGUCACUGUCCUAAGUGCUUUACAUAUUUACAUGUAGUUAAUGCAUGCAAAACAUUAACUGAUUUCAUGUUCAAAACAAUGCUAAGGCUGGGCACGGUGGCUCAUGCUUGUAUUCCCAGCACUUUGAGAGGCCGAGAUGUGAGGAUUGCUUGAGGCCAGGGGUUCAAGAUC